GACGAACGCUGGCGGCGUGCUUAACACAUGCAAGUCGAACGCUGAAGCUCAGCUUUUGUUGGGUGGAUGAGUGGCGAACGGGUGAGUAACACGUGAGUAACCUGCCCCCUUCUUUGGGAUAACGCCCGGAAACGGGUGCUAAUACUGGAUAUUCACUGGUCUUCGCAUGGGGGUUGGUGGAAAGGGUUUUUCUGGUGGGGGAUGGGCUCGCGGCCUAUCAGCUUGUUGGUGGGGUGAUGGCCUACCAAGGCUUUGACGGGUAGCCGGCCUGAGAGGGUGACAGGUCACAUUGGGACUGAGAUACGGCCCAGACUCCUACGGGAGGCAGCAGUGGGGAAGACUGCACAAUGGGGGCAAGCCUGAUGCAGCGACGCCGCGUGAGGGAUGGAGGCCUUCGGGUUGUGAACCUCUUUCGCUCAUGGUCAAGCCGCAACAAUGGUUGUGGUGAGGGUAGUGGGUAAAGAAGCGCCGGCUAACUACGUG
RNAcentral lists this ribosomal RNA (483 nucleotides) under uncultured bacterium. RNAcentral's name for it is "partial 16S ribosomal RNA". It matches the Rfam family "Bacterial small subunit ribosomal RNA", at positions 28 to 507 of the family's 1533-position model. The record is from RNAcentral.